UCCGUAGGUGAACCUGCGGAGGGAUCAUUACCGAGUUUACAACUCCCAAACCCCUGUGAACAUACCUUAAUGUUGCCUCGGCGGAUCAGCCCGCGCCCCGUAAAACGGGACGGCCCGCCAGAGGACCCAAACUCUAAUGUUUCUUAUUGUAACUUCUGAGUAAAACAAACAAAUAAAUCAAAACUUUCAACAACGGAUCUCUUGGUUCUGGCAUCGAUGAAGAACGCAGCAAAAUGCGAUAAGUAAUGUGAAUUGCAGAAUUCAGUGAAUCAUCGAAUCUUUGAACGCACAUUGCGCCCGCUGGUAUUCCGGCGGGCAUGCCUGUUCGAGCGUCAUUUCAACCCUCAAGCCCCCGGGUUUGGUGUUGGGGAUCGGCUCUGCCUUCUGGCGGUGCCGCCCCCGAAAUACAUUGGCGGUCUCGCUGCAGCCUCCAUUGCGUAGUAGCUAACACCUCGCAACUGGAACGCGGCGCGGCCAUGCCGUAAAACCCCAACUUCUGAAUGUUGACCUCGGAUCAGGUAGGAAUACCCGCUGAACUUAAGCAUAUCAAUAAGCGGAGGA
RNAcentral lists this ribosomal RNA (561 nucleotides) under Fusarium tricinctum. RNAcentral describes it as "eukaryotic LSU rRNA". The stretch from base 182 to 335 matches the Rfam family "5.8S ribosomal RNA". Lineage: Eukaryota; Fungi; Ascomycota; Sordariomycetes; Hypocreales; Nectriaceae. The record is from RNAcentral.